ACAUUGCCCCAUGAAAUAAAUAUGGGGUAAUACCUGCCCAGUGACAUAGUUUAACGGCCGCGGUAUCCUAACCGUGCAAAGGUAGCAUAAUCACUUACCUAUUAAUUGUAGGCUAGAAUGAAGGGGUUAACGAAAUAAAGACUGUCUCAAUUAAUUACCUAAAAAUUAUUUUCUGCUUGAAGAAAAGCAGAUAAACUCGAAGGACAAGAAGACCCUAUAGAGCUUAAUUUUAAUUAUAGAGCUACGCUAUAAGAAUAUUCGGUUGGGGCGACCCAGGGCUAAAUAAUCACCCACUAUAUAAAAGAUAAAUUAAUCAAUCAAUUGACCCUUAAAAGAUCACUAAACCAAGCUACCUUAGGGAUAACAGGCUAAUCCCACUCAAGAGUCCUUAUCAACAGUGGGGCUUGGCACCUCGAUGUUGGCUUAGGGUAUCUAUAUAGCGCAAAAGUUAUAUAAAGAUGGUUUGUUCAACCAAUAAUUCCCUACGUGAU
This 491-nucleotide ribosomal RNA is filed under the name Megascolecidae sp. SC201746-01. RNAcentral's name for it is "partial large subunit ribosomal RNA". It matches the Rfam family "Bacterial large subunit ribosomal RNA", at positions 1813 to 2604 of the family's 2925-position model. Lineage: Eukaryota; Metazoa; Annelida; Clitellata; Crassiclitellata; Megascolecidae. The record is from RNAcentral.